GAUGAACGCUGGCGGCGUGCCUAAUACAUGCAAGUCGAGCGGACCAAAGAGAGCUUGCUCUCUGAGGUUAGCGGCGGACGGGUGAGUAACACGUGGGUAACCUGCCUGUAAGACGGGGAUAACUUCGGGAAACCGAAGCUAAUACCGGAUGAUAAAGAGAAAUGCCUGUUUCUUUUUUGAAAGUAGGCCUUGUGCUGACGCUUGCAGAUGGGCUCGCGGCGCAUUAGCUAGUUGGUGAGGUAACGGCUCACCAAGGCGACGAGGCGUAGCCGACCUGAGAGGGUGAUCGGCCAGACUGGAACUGAGACACGGCCCAGACUCCUACGGGAGGCAGCAGUAGGGAAUCUUCGGCAAUGGACGAAAGUCUGACCGAGCAACGCCGCGUGAGCGAUGAAGGCCUUCGGGUCGUAAAGCUCUGUUGUCAGAGAAGAACAAGUACCGGAGUAACUGCCGGUACCUUGACGGUACCUGACCAGAAAGCCACGGCUAACUACGUGCCAGCCGCCGCAGUAA
Molecule: ribosomal RNA, 513 nt
Filed under: uncultured bacterium
Lineage: Bacteria
Description: partial 16S ribosomal RNA
Rfam family: Bacterial small subunit ribosomal RNA
Source: RNAcentral